RNAcentral lists this ribosomal RNA (492 nucleotides) under uncultured bacterium. RNAcentral's name for it is "partial 16S ribosomal RNA". It matches the Rfam family "Bacterial small subunit ribosomal RNA", at positions 29 to 507 of the family's 1533-position model. The record is from RNAcentral.
AGUGAACGCUGGCGGUAGGCCUAACACAUGCAAGUCGAACGGCAGCACAGUAAGAGCUUGCUCUUACGGGUGGCGAGUGGCGGACGGGUGAGGAAUACAUCGGAAUCUACUUUUUCGUGGGGGAUAACGUAGGGAAACUUACGCUAAUACCGCAUACGACCUACGGGUGAAAGCAGGGGAUCUUCGGACCUUGCGCGAUUGAAUGAGCCGAUGUCGGAUUAGCUAGUUGGCGGGGUAAAGGCCCACCAAGGCGACGUUCCGUAGCUGGUCUGAGGGGAUGAUCAGCCACACUGGAACUGAGACACGGUCCAGACUCCUACGGGAGGCAGCAGUGGGGAAUAUUGGACAAUGGGCGCAAGCCUGAUCCAGCCAUACCGCGUGGGUGAAGAAGGCCUUCGGGUUGUAAAGCCCUUUUGUUGGGAAAGAAAAGCAGCAGGUUAAUACCCCGCUGUUCUGACGGUACCCAAAGAAUAAGCACCGGCUAACUUCGUG